RNAcentral lists this ribosomal RNA (2923 nucleotides) under Staphylococcus aureus. RNAcentral describes it as "23S ribosomal RNA". It matches the Rfam family "Bacterial large subunit ribosomal RNA". Lineage: Bacteria; Bacillati; Bacillota; Bacilli; Caryophanales; Staphylococcaceae. The record is from RNAcentral.
GAUUAAGUUAUUAAGGGCGCACGGUGGAUGCCUUGGCACUAGAAGCCGAUGAAGGACGUUACUAACGACGAUAUGCUUUGGGGAGCUGUAAGUAAGCUUUGAUCCAGAGAUUUCCGAAUGGGGAAACCCAGCAUGAGUUAUGUCAUGUUAUCGAUAUGUGAAUACAUAGCAUAUCAGAAGGCACACCCGGAGAACUGAAACAUCUUAGUACCCGGAGGAAGAGAAAGAAAAUUCGAUUCCCUUAGUAGCGGCGAGCGAAACGGGAAGAGCCCAAACCAACAAGCUUGCUUGUUGGGGUUGUAGGACACUCUAUACGGAGUUACAAAGGACGACAUUAGACGAAUCAUCUGGAAAGAUGAAUCAAAGAAGGUAAUAAUCCUGUAGUCGAAAAUGUUGUCUCUCUUGAGUGGAUCCUGAGUACGACGGAGCACGUGAAAUUCCGUCGGAAUCUGGGAGGACCAUCUCCUAAGGCUAAAUACUCUCUAGUGACCGAUAGUGAACCAGUACCGUGAGGGAAAGGUGAAAAGCACCCCGGAAGGGGAGUGAAAUAGAACCUGAAACCGUGUGCUUACAAGUAGUCAGAGCCCGUUAAUGGGUGAUGGCGUGCCUUUUGUAGAAUGAACCGGCGAGUUACGAUUUGAUGCAAGGUUAAGCAGUAAAUGUGGAGCCGUAGCGAAAGCGAGUCUGAAUAGGGCGUUUAGUAUUUGGUCGUAGACCCGAAACCAGGUGAUCUACCCUUGGUCAGGUUGAAGUUCAGGUAACACUGAAUGGAGGACCGAACCGACUUACGUUGAAAAGUGAGCGGAUGAACUGAGGGUAGCGGAGAAAUUCCAAUCGAACCUGGAGAUAGCUGGUUCUCUCCGAAAUAGCUUUAGGGCUAGCCUCAAGUGAUGAUUAUUGGAGGUAGAGCACUGUUUGGACGAGGGGCCCCUCUCGGGUUACCGAAUUCAGACAAACUCCGAAUGCCAAUUAAUUUAACUUGGGAGUCAGAACAUGGGUGAUAAGGUCCGUGUUCGAAAGGGAAACAGCCCAGACCACCAGCUAAGGUCCCAAAAUAUAUGUUAAGUGGAAAAGGAUGUGGCGUUGCCCAGACAACUAGGAUGUUGGCUUAGAAGCAGCCAUCAUUUAAAGAGUGCGUAAUAGCUCACUAGUCGAGUGACACUGCGCCGAAAAUGUACCGGGGCUAAACAUAUUACCGAAGCUGUGGAUUGUCCUUUGGACAAUGGUAGGAGAGCGUUCUAAGGGCGUUGAAGCAUGAUCGUAAGGACAUGUGGAGUGCUUAGAAGUGAGAAUGCCGGUGUGAGUAGCGAAAGACGGGUGAGAAUCCCGUCCACCGAUUGACUAAGGUUUCCAGAGGAAGGCUCGUCCGCUCUGGGUUAGUCGGGUCCUAAGCUGAGGCCGACAGGCGUAGGCGAUGGAUAACAGGUUGAUAUUCCUGUACCACCUAUAAUCGUUUUAAUCGAUGGGGGGACGCAGUAGGAUAGGCGAAGCGUGCGAUUGGAUUGCACGUCUAAGCAGUAAGGCUGAGUAUUAGGCAAAUCCGGUACUCGUUAAGGCUGAGCUGUGAUGGGGAGAAGACAUUGUGUCUUCGAGUCGUUGAUUUCACACUGCCGAGAAAAGCCUCUAGAUAGAAAAUAGGUGCCCGUACCGCAAACCGACACAGGUAGUCAAGAUGAGAAUUCUAAGGUGAGCGAGCGAACUCUCGUUAAGGAACUCGGCAAAAUGACCCCGUAACUUCGGGAGAAGGGGUGCUCUUUAGGGUUAACGCCCAGAAGAGCCGCAGUGAAUAGGCCCAAGCGACUGUUUAUCAAAAACACAGGUCUCUGCUAAACCGUAAGGUGAUGUAUAGGGGCUGACGCCUGCCCGGUGCUGGAAGGUUAAGAGGAGUGGUUAGCUUCUGCGAAGCUACGAAUCGAAGCCCCAGUAAACGGCGGCCGUAACUAUAACGGUCCUAAGGUAGCGAAAUUCCUUGUCGGGUAAGUUCCGACCCGCACGAAAGGCGUAACGAUUUGGGCACUGUCUCAACGAGAGACUCGGUGAAAUCAUAGUACCUGUGAAGAUGCAGGUUACCCGCGACAGGACGGAAAGACCCCGUGGAGCUUUACUGUAGCCUGAUAUUGAAAUUCGGCACAGCUUGUACAGGAUAGGUAGGAGCCUUUGAAACGUGAGCGCUAGCUUACGUGGAGGCGCUGGUGGGAUACUACCCUAGCUGUGUUGGCUUUCUAACCCGCACCACUUAUCGUGGUGGGAGACAGUGUCAGGCGGGCAGUUUGACUGGGGCGGUCGCCUCCUAAAAGGUAACGGAGGCGCUCAAAGGUUCCCUCAGAAUGGUUGGAAAUCAUUCAUAGAGUGUAAAGGCAUAAGGGAGCUUGACUGCGAGACCUACAAGUCGAGCAGGGUCGAAAGACGGACUUAGUGAUCCGGUGGUUCCGCAUGGAAGGGCCAUCGCUCAACGGAUAAAAGCUACCCCGGGGAUAACAGGCUUAUCUCCCCCAAGAGUUCACAUCGACGGGGAGGUUUGGCACCUCGAUGUCGGCUCAUCGCAUCCUGGGGCUGUAGUCGGUCCCAAGGGUUGGGCUGUUCGCCCAUUAAAGCGGUACGCGAGCUGGGUUCAGAACGUCGUGAGACAGUUCGGUCCCUAUCCGUCGUGGGCGUAGGAAAUUUGAGAGGAGCUGUCCUUAGUACGAGAGGACCGGGAUGGACAUACCUCUGGUGUACCAGUUGUCGUGCCAACGGCAUAGCUGGGUAGCUAUGUGUGGACGGGAUAAGUGCUGAAAGCAUCUAAGCAUGAAGCCCCCCUCAAGAUGAGAUUUCCCAACUUCGGUUAUAAGAUCCCUCAAAGAUGAUGAGGUUAAUAGGUUCGAGGUGGAAGCAUGGUGACAUGUGGAGCUGACGAAUACUAAUCGAUCGAAGACUUAAUCAA